RNAcentral lists this ribosomal RNA (231 nucleotides) under Triticum aestivum (bread wheat). RNAcentral describes it as "partial small subunit ribosomal RNA". Lineage: Eukaryota; Viridiplantae; Streptophyta; Magnoliopsida; Poales; Poaceae. The record is from RNAcentral.
AUGGAUCUACACCCCCAGGUGUUGUGCUAGAAUGUUCGUGUCCUGAACAAUCCGGCGAAGCGCAAGGCGGUGAGAGAAUUCGUGAGCUCGGUGAAGUGUAACUUGGUUUGUUUCAAGGAAACCAAGAUGGAUGUAAUGGACCAUUUCAUUGUUAUGCAAUGCCUAGGGCCAUCUUUUGAUGACUUCGCUUACUUACCAUCCCAAGAGACUAGGGGUGGCAUCUUAUUAGCG